GGUUUUUAUGUUUCUCUUUGUGAAUACAGGUUAUAUUGGGUCAUGGACACGGAAGUAUGCGCGCCUGUGCAAACUGUACAAUGCAAGAAGAAGGAGAAGAAAAAUAGAGGGAAGAGUAAGUCACGUAAACGGUAUGUGAAUGGUUCAAGAAGACGUGGUUGUCGUGGUGGUGUGGAAAAUCGUGAGCGAAGGUUGAAGAAGUUGGAGAAGCUGCAUUCCACGUAGGUUGGCACUGUGGCUCCAACAUUAGCAUCAAGUCCUAAUGGUUCUUCGGUCAUUGACUUGACCCUGUCCCAUGAGAAUACCAUUGAGUUUCC
This 317-nucleotide unclassified non-coding RNA is filed under the name Bombus terrestris (buff-tailed bumblebee). RNAcentral describes it as "misc RNA ENSBTSG00005030855.1". The record is from RNAcentral. Lineage: Eukaryota; Metazoa; Arthropoda; Insecta; Hymenoptera; Apidae.